CUACGUGCCAGCAGCCGCGGUAAUACGUAGGGUGCGAGCGUUAAUCGGAAUUACUGGGCGUAAAGCGAGCGCAGACGGUUACUUAAGCAGGAUGUGAAAUCCCCGGGCUCAACCUGGGAACUGCGUUCUGAACUGGGUGACUAGAGUGUGUCAGAGGGAGGUAGAAUUCCACGUGUAGCAGUGAAAUGCGUAGAGAUGUGGAGGAAUACCGAUGGCGAAGGCAGCCUCCUGGGAUAACACUGACGUUCAUGCUCGAAAGCGUGGGUAGCAAACAGGAUUAGAUACCCUGGUAGUCCACGCCCUAAACGAUGUCAAUUAGCUGUUGGGCAACUUGAUUGCUUAGUAGCGUAGCUAACGCGUGAAAUUGACCGCCUGGGGAGUACGGCCGCAAGGUUAAAACUCAAAUGAAUUGACGGGGGCCCGCACAAGCGGUGGAGCAUGUGGUUUAAUUCGAUGCAACGCGAAGAACCUUACCUGGUCUUGACA
Molecule: ribosomal RNA, 486 nt
Filed under: uncultured bacterium
Lineage: Bacteria
Description: bacterial SSU rRNA
Rfam family: Bacterial small subunit ribosomal RNA
Source: RNAcentral